RNAcentral lists this ribosomal RNA (497 nucleotides) under uncultured bacterium. RNAcentral's name for it is "partial 16S ribosomal RNA". It matches the Rfam family "Bacterial small subunit ribosomal RNA", at positions 28 to 507 of the family's 1533-position model. The record is from RNAcentral.
GGUGAACGCUGGCGGCGUGCCUAAUACAUGCAAGUCGAGCGAACAGACGAGGAGCUUGCUCCUCUGACGUUAGCGGCGGACGGGUGAGUAACACGUGGAUAACCUACCUAUAAGACUGGAAUAACUUCGGGAAACCGGAGCUAAUACCGGAUAAUAUAUUGAACCGCAUGGUUCAAUAGUGAAAGACGGUUUUGCUGUCACUUAUAGAUGGAUCCGCGCCGCAUUAGCUAGUUGGUAAGGUAACGGCUUACCAAGGCAACGAUGCGUAGCCGACCUGAGAGGGUGAUCGGCCACACUGGAACUGAGACACGGUCCAGACUCCUACGGGAGGCAGCAGUAGGGAAUCUUCCGCAAUGGGCGAAAGCCUGACGGAGCAACGCCGCGUGAGUGAUGAAGGUCUUCGGAUCGUAAAACUCUGUUAUUAGGGAAGAACAAAUGUGUAAGUAACUAUGCACGUCUUGACGGUACCUAAUCAGAAAGCCACGGCUAACUACGUG